GUAUCAUGUAUGCUUCAACACUUAGAUUGUCAGCUUAUAUUCUGUUUAUCUGAAUGGAGCAUGAUAAUUUGUGUAAGAUCUAUUUAGGUAUCCUUGAAGAUUUGAUCCAAGAUUUAUACUGUGAAACCAAAGAUUCAUGAACAGAAUUAAAGAGCCGAGAUCAUCCAUAUGUGU
Molecule: long non-coding RNA, 174 nt
Organism: Lolium rigidum
Lineage: Eukaryota; Viridiplantae; Streptophyta; Magnoliopsida; Poales; Poaceae
Exons: 4
Source: RefSeq, a predicted model, not a curated record